AUUGAACGCUGGCGGAAUGCUUUACACAUGCAAGUCGAACGGCAGCACGGGGGCAACCCUGGUGGCGAGUGGCGAACGGGUGAGUAAUACAUCGGAACGUGCCCAGUCGUGGGGGAUAACGUAGCGAAAGUUACGCUAAUACCGCAUACGAUCUACGGAUGAAAGCGGGGGACCGUAAGGCCUCGCGCGAUUGGAGCGGCCGAUGUCCGAUUAGGUAGUUGGUGGGGUAAAGGCUCACCAAGCCGACGAUCUGUAGCUGGUCUGAGAGGACGACCAUCCACACUGGGACUGAGACACGGCCCAGACUACUACGGGGGGCAGCAGUGGGGAAUUUUGGACAAUGGGCGCAAGCCUGAUCCAGCCAUUCCGCGUGCAGGACGAAGGCCUUCGGGUUGUAGACUGCUUUUGUACGGAACGAAAAGGCUCUGGUUAAUACCUGGGGCUCAUGACGGUACCGUAAGAAUAAGCACCGGCUAACUACGUGCCAGCAGCCGCAGUAA
Molecule: ribosomal RNA, 500 nt
Filed under: uncultured bacterium
Lineage: Bacteria
Description: partial 16S ribosomal RNA
Rfam family: Bacterial small subunit ribosomal RNA
Source: RNAcentral